This 409-nucleotide unclassified non-coding RNA is filed under the name plant metagenome. Its description in RNAcentral is "partial contains small subunit ribosomal RNA, internal transcribed spacer 1, and 5.8S ribosomal RNA". The stretch from base 2 to 215 matches the Rfam family "Group I catalytic intron". Rfam says of the family: Group I catalytic introns are large self-splicing ribozymes. The record is from RNAcentral.
UUUCCGUAGGUCGCUAGAGUUCAGCCUACCAAAGCAAACCUUUCAAAACUGCUAGUCUCUCCCCGAGGCGACACGCUCAAUGUUGCGGAGAGGCCCUCUUUUCAGAGGGUAAUCCGCAGCCGGCCCCCUAAAGGCUGGUUCAGAGACUCAAUGAGUGUGGGUUUGGCCUUUUGGCCAGGCUUAAGAUAGAGCCCGUCCCUGUAGGCAACUGCGGGGGAUGAACGGAACCUGCGGAAGGAUCAUUAAAGAAUCGGUGACCCUCGCGGUCCCAUUCUCACCCUUUGUAUACCAAACUUCAGUUGCUUUGGCUGGCCUUCGCGGGCCGGCCAGAGGACUCAAACCCUUGAAUCUUUGCUGUCUGAGUACUAUAUAAUAGUUAAAACUUUCAACAACGGAUCUCUUGGUUCUG